RNAcentral lists this ribosomal RNA (481 nucleotides) under uncultured bacterium. RNAcentral's name for it is "SSU rRNA". It matches the Rfam family "Bacterial small subunit ribosomal RNA", at positions 26 to 518 of the family's 1533-position model. The record is from RNAcentral.
AGGACGAACGCUGGCGGCGUGCCUAACACAUGCAAGUCGAACGCGCUCCAUUCGGUAGCAAUACUGAUGAAGAGCGAGUGGCGAACGGGUGAGUAGCACGUGAGCAACCUGCCCCGAAGACUGGGACAACACCGGGAAACCGGUGCUAAUACCGGAUAUCCCUAUCGGAUCGCAUGAUCUGAUAAGGAAAUGUUUUUCGCUUCGGGAGGGGCUCGCGGCCUAUCAGCUAGUUGGUGGGGUAACGGCCUACCAAGGCAUCGACGGGUAGCUGGUCUGAGAGGACGAUCAGCCACACUGGGACUGAGACACGGCCCAGACUCCUACGGGAGGCAGCAGUGGGGAAUCUUGCGCAAUGGGCGAAAGCCUGACGCAGCAACGCCGCGUGGAGGACGAAGGCUUUCUGAGUUGUAAACUCCUUUCAGCAGGGACGAUUGUGACGGUACCUGCAGAAGAGCACCGGCAACUACGCGCCAGCAGCCGA